UGGGGAAUAUUGCACAAUGGGCGCAAGCCUGAUGCAGCCAUGCCGCGUGUGUGAAGAAGGCCUUCGGGUUGUAAAGCACUUUCAGCGAGGAGGAAGGUGGUGAGCUUAAUACGCUCAUCAAUUGACGUUACUCGCAGAAGAAGCACCGGCUAACUCCGUGCCAGCAGCCGCGGUAAUACGGAGGGUGCAAGCGUUAAUCGGAAUUACUGGGCGUAAAGCGCACGCAGGCGGUUUGUUAAGUCAGAUGUGAAAUCCCCGGGCUCAACCUGGGAACUGCAUUUGAAACUGGCAAGCUAGAGUCUCGUAGAGGGGGGUAGAAUUCCAGGUGUAGCGGUGAAAUGCGUAGAGAUCUGGAGGAAUACCGGUGGCGAAGGCGGCCCCCCUGGACGAAGACUGACGCUCAGGUGCGAAAAGCGUGGGGCAGCAAACAGGAUUAGAUACCCUGGUAGUCCACGCUGUAAACGAUGUCGAUUUGGAGGUUGUGCCCUGAGGCGUGGNUUCCGGAGCUAACGCGUUAAAUCGACCGCCNGGGGAGUACGGCCGCAAGGUUAAAACUCAAAUGAAUUG
This 567-nucleotide ribosomal RNA is filed under the name uncultured bacterium. Its description in RNAcentral is "partial 16S ribosomal RNA". It matches the Rfam family "Bacterial small subunit ribosomal RNA", at positions 355 to 912 of the family's 1533-position model. The record is from RNAcentral.